RNAcentral lists this ribosomal RNA (115 nucleotides) under Escherichia coli. RNAcentral's name for it is "partial 16S ribosomal RNA". It matches the Rfam family "Bacterial small subunit ribosomal RNA", at positions 1 to 108 of the family's 1533-position model. The record is from RNAcentral. RNAcentral also lists the same sequence under 9 other names. Lineage: Bacteria; Pseudomonadati; Pseudomonadota; Gammaproteobacteria; Enterobacterales; Enterobacteriaceae.
AAAUUGAAGAGUUUGAUCAUGGCUCAGAUUGAACGCUGGCGGCAGGCCUAACACAUGCAAGUCGAACGGUAACAGGAAGCAGCUUGCUGCUUUGCUGACGAGUGGCGGACGGGUG